GAUGAACGCUGGCGGCGUGCCUAACACAUGCAAGUCGAACGGAGAUUACGGACGGAAGUUUUCGGAUGGAAGACUGUAAUUCUUAGUGGCGGACGGGUGAGUAACGCGUGGGCAACCUGCCCUAUACAGGGGGAUAGCAGCUGGAAACGGCUGGUAAGACCGCAUAAGUCGGCGAGACCGCAUGGUUUUGCCGGGAAAUGAGCAAUCAGGUAUAGGAUGGGCCCGCGUCCGAUUAGCCAGUUGGCAGGGUAAAAGCCUACCAAAGCAACGAUCGGUAGCCGGACUGAGAGGUCGGACGGCCACAUUGGGACUGAGACACGGCCCAAACUCCUACGGGAGGCAGCAGUGGGGGAUAUUGCACAAUGGAGGAAACUCUGAUGAAGCGACGCCGCGUGAGUGAAGAAGUAGUUCGGUAUGUAAAGCUCUAUCAGCAGGGAAGAUGAUGACGGUACCUGACUAAGAAGCCCCGGCUAACUACGUG
RNAcentral lists this ribosomal RNA (481 nucleotides) under uncultured bacterium. RNAcentral's name for it is "partial 16S ribosomal RNA". It matches the Rfam family "Bacterial small subunit ribosomal RNA", at positions 28 to 507 of the family's 1533-position model. The record is from RNAcentral.